UGGGGAAUAUUGGACAAUGGGCGCAAGCCUGAUCCAGCCAUGCCGCGUGAGUGACGAAGGCCUUAGGGUUGUAAAGCUCUUUUUGGCGGGGAAGAUAAUGACGGUACCCGCAGAAUAAGCUCCGGCUAACUUCGUGCCAGCAGCCGCGGUAAUACAGAGGUGGCGAGCGUUAUUCGGAAUUAUUGGGCGUAAAGGGCGCGUAGGCGGCCAGAUAAGUCCCGGGUGAAAUCCCUCGGCUCAACCGAGGAACUGCCUUGGAAACUGUCUGGCUCGAGGCCGGGAGAGGGUAGUGGAAUUCCCAGUGUAGCGGUGAAAUGCGUAGAUACUGGGAGGAACACCGGUGGCGAAGGCGGCUACCUGGACCGGUUCUGACGCUGAUGCGCGAAAGCGUGGGGAGCAAAC
This 402-nucleotide ribosomal RNA is filed under the name uncultured bacterium. Its description in RNAcentral is "bacterial SSU rRNA". It matches the Rfam family "Bacterial small subunit ribosomal RNA", at positions 355 to 773 of the family's 1533-position model. The record is from RNAcentral.